CAGACUUGGAACGGUCGGCCAUAGAGGGUGACAGCCCCUUUCGCAAAGUGACGACGAGCGUAGCAGGUACCUGAGUACCGCAGGACACGUGUAAUCCAGCGGGAAUCCGGCGGGACCAUCCGCCAAGCCUAAGUACUCCUCAUCGACCGAUAGUGAACAAGUACCGUGAGGGAAAGGUGAAAAGCACCCCGGAAGGGGAGUGAAAUAGAACCUGAAACCGUGUUUGCCUACAAGCACUGAGAGCACUAUGCCGCAAGGCAGUGUGAUCGGGUACCUUUUGCAUAAUGGGCCUGCGAGUUGCGUUUUGUGGCGAGGUUAAGCCGACGAGGUGGAGCCGUAGCGAAAGCGAGUCCGAACAGGGCGACAGUCGCAGGACGCAGACCCGAAGCCCGGCGAUCUAUCCAUGUCCAGGAUGAAACGCGGGUAAUACCGCGCGGAGGUCCGAACCCACCUUAGUUGAAAAUAAGGGGAUGAGGUGUGGAUAGGAGUG
This 490-nucleotide ribosomal RNA is filed under the name uncultured bacterium. RNAcentral describes it as "bacterial LSU rRNA". It matches the Rfam family "Bacterial large subunit ribosomal RNA", at positions 338 to 823 of the family's 2925-position model. The record is from RNAcentral.